CCGGAUUUAUUAGGUUUAAAGGGUGCGUAGGCGGUAUUUUAAGUCAGUGGUGAAAGAUUGUAGCUCAACUAUGAUAAGCCAUAGAAACUGGAAUACUUGAGUGCAGAUGAGGUAGGCGGAAUGUGUUGUGUAGCGGUGAAAUGCAUAGAUAUAACACAGAACACCAAUUGCGAAGGCAGCUUACUAAAGUGUAACUGACGCUGAGGCACGAAAGCGUGGGGAUCGAACAGGAUUAGAUACCCUGGUAGUCCACGCUGUAAACGAUGUUCACUCGUUGUUGGCGAUAAACAGUCAGCGACUAAGCGAAAGCGAUAAGUGAACCACCUGGGGAGUACGGCGGCAACGCUGAAACUCAAAGGAAUUGACGGGGGCCCGCACAAGCGGAGGAACAUGUGGUUUAAUUCGAUGAUACACGAGGAACCUUACCUGGGCUAGAAAAAGAUUGACCGGCUUGGAAACAGGCUUUCCCUUCGGGGCAAUCUAUUAGGUGCUGCAUGGUUGUCGUCAGCUCGUGCCGUGAGGUGUCGGGUUAAGUCCCAUAACGAGCGCAACCCUCAUUGUUAGUUACCAUCAAGUAAAGUUGGGGACUCUAACGAGACUGCCCGGCGUAAGCCGUGAAGGAAGGUGGGGAUGACGUCAAAUCAGCACGGUCCUUUAUGUCCACGGGCUACACACGUGUUACCAUGGGCCAAUACAGAGGUCAGCAAUACCGGUAGGGUGGAGCAAAUCCUAAAAGCUGGUCCUAGUUCGGAUCGGGAGUCUGCAACUCGACUCCGUGAAGCUGGAUCGGUAGUAUCCGCAGAUCAUC
Molecule: ribosomal RNA, 808 nt
Filed under: uncultured bacterium
Lineage: Bacteria
Description: bacterial SSU rRNA
Rfam family: Bacterial small subunit ribosomal RNA
Source: RNAcentral